Molecule: transfer RNA, 61 nt
Filed under: Dipodomys ordii (Ord's kangaroo rat)
Lineage: Eukaryota; Metazoa; Chordata; Mammalia; Rodentia; Heteromyidae
Source: Rfam by way of RNAcentral
GGUGCUGUGGCUCAAGUGGUAGAGCACUAGCCUUGAGCUGGAGAGCUGAGGGACAGCACCA